UCCGGCUUAUCACCGGCAGUUUCUUCAGAGUGCCCAGCUUGACCUGAUGGCAACAGAAGACGAGGGUUGCGCUCGUUGCGGGACUUAACCCAACAUCUCACGACACGAGCUGACGACAGCCAUGCAGCACCUGUGCUCCCUCCAGCCGAACUGAAGGACUCUCUUUCAAGUGUCCGCGAGGGGCAUGUCAAAUCCUGGUAAGGUUCUUCGCGUUGCCUCGAAUUAAACCACAUGUUCCACCGCUUGUGCGGGUCCCCGUCAAUUCCUUUGAGUUUUAAUCUUGCGACCGUACUCCCCAGGCGGGAUGCUUAACGCGUUAGCUGCGCCACUGAGGGGGAACCCCCCAACGGCUAGCAUCCAUCGUUUACGGCGUGGACUAC
RNAcentral lists this unclassified non-coding RNA (380 nucleotides) under uncultured Rickettsiales bacterium. RNAcentral's name for it is "contains 16S-23S intergenic spacer region". Lineage: Bacteria; Pseudomonadati; Pseudomonadota; Alphaproteobacteria; Rickettsiales. The record is from RNAcentral.